Long non-coding RNA from Ipomoea triloba (trilobed morning glory), 685 nucleotides. RefSeq lists it as uncharacterized. The record is from RefSeq and is a predicted model, not a curated record. NCBI's taxonomy places the organism in Eukaryota, Viridiplantae, Streptophyta, Magnoliopsida, Solanales, Convolvulaceae. The transcript has 2 exons.
GAAAACGAAUUUUGGGAAAGACGAAGACGAAGAGGUAAAUACUUACAGGGGUAAAGAGAGGGGACAGGGGAGGCUUGGAGGAAGACGAAGUAGCCAUUGAAACUGAUUUGAAGAACAGGGGAGACCCCCAAAAAAUCAAAGCUUGCUUUUUAUUAUCCACAAUCUUGAAUUCUUGAAUUAAACUCAAUUUUAUCUCUGAAUGUUUAAUGUGGUAUUAAUGUCUCUCUCUCUCAUCGUUGUCUACCGUUGUUUGAAGCUGAAUUUUUGCAGGUUUCUGAAGCAAUUUUUUAUCCAGCUUCAUCUAGCCCCUCUCUUCUAGGCUUUAAAGCGCAAGAAUCUAAAAGAAAAGAUGAUGAUUGGUUGAUGGACAGAGCCUGAGUCAGGCAAGAAGCUAGUGGAGAAGACGAACAAUCUGCUCGUCUUCUCCGUUGGUCGUCGUUGGAGGCAAAUGUUGAGCGCCAUGCCGAAAGAAGAGAGAGGCAGCGAGUAGCGCCGGAGGAGAACAGUUUGAGCAUCGGUGUUCAGAGAAGAGAGGGUCAAAGAGCAAGUCAGACAUAACAAGAAAGACUAUUUUGCCCUUUUCAAUUCAGAAUAAAAUGAGGUUUAAUUUUUUCCGGUCACAUUUGACCGGCAAUUUGGCCGGCGUGACCAAAAUUGAGAAAAAAUGCAUAGUCAAGGUACGAAA